Molecule: non-coding RNA, 85 nt
Organism: Felis catus (domestic cat)
Lineage: Eukaryota; Metazoa; Chordata; Mammalia; Carnivora; Felidae
Source: Rfam
GCCUGGGUGGCUCAGUCGGUUAAGCACCCGACUUCGGCUCAGGUCAUGAUCUCACAGUCCGUGAGUUCGAGCCCCACAUCGGGCU